AGUGGGGAAUUUUGGACAAUGGGCGCAAGCCUGAUCCAGCCAUUCCGCGUGCAGGAUGAAGGCCCUCGGGUUGUAAACUGCUUUUGUACGGAACGAAAAGGUCCUGGUUAAUACCCGGGGCUGAUGACGGUACCGUAAGAAUAAGCACCGGCUAACUACGUGCCAGCAGCCGCGGUAAUACGUAGGGUGCAAGCGUUAAUCGGAAUUACUGGGCGUAAAGCGUGCGCAGGCGGUGAUGUAAGACAGAUGUGAAAUCCCCGGGCUCAACCUGGGAACUGCAUCUGUGACUGCAUCGCUGGAGUGCGGCAGAGGGGGAUGGAAUUCCGCGUGUAGCAGUGAAAUGCGUAGAUAUGCGGAGGAACACCGAUGGCGAAGGCAAUCCCCUGGGCCUGCACUGACGCUCAUGCACGAAAGCGUGGGGAGCAAA
This 427-nucleotide ribosomal RNA is filed under the name uncultured Ramlibacter sp. RNAcentral describes it as "bacterial SSU rRNA". It matches the Rfam family "Bacterial small subunit ribosomal RNA", at positions 353 to 772 of the family's 1533-position model. The record is from RNAcentral. Lineage: Bacteria; Pseudomonadati; Pseudomonadota; Betaproteobacteria; Burkholderiales; Comamonadaceae.